UGUUGGUGAAACUAUUCUAAAGGCACAUCUUGGAGGAAUUUGUUUACACUACUUUAUCAUCAACCAUAUGUUCUUAUUUCUAAACAACCAGUAGCAAUGUGUCCCUUGCAUUUUUAGUUUUUAAACAAGAGGUCACAUAAAUUUCUGUAAAAUGUCUGAAAAACCAAGAAAACCACAAAAACCUAACUUGAAACUAUCACCUUCGGUUAAAGUUAUGGUGUUUAGAAAGAAAUCUUCAAACUUGUCUUGCAGAUCUAGAAGACCACCUUCAGCGGCAGUUGAAAACAUAAAUACAGCGGAGCAAUUGGUACACAACAAGAAAGAAACCAUCCCUCUGCAAGAAACUAGUGACAGCCGUAGAAAAGAUCCGGUACCAUCCUUGUCUACAAAAACUACAAAAAGUGAGGUAAAGGCAGACAAAAGUAAGACAUAAAAGGUCCUUCCUGGGCUCAACACAAGAACCAAAAGAACAUUUAAGAAAUUUCUAACUAUAUUCGACUCCAAGAAAUGAGCAGAUUUUAAAAUGUGCAUAAAAUAAUUAGUUUACAAUGCGUUAGAAACAAGGAAACCAAAAUAAAUUUAUUUGUUUCAUAACAAAACCAUUUUUUCCAUGUACGCUACCUGUGUAGUCCACAGAUAUUUGUAAAAUUAAAACAAGUACGGUAGAAUAAA
Homalodisca vitripennis (glassy-winged sharpshooter) is the source of this 672-nucleotide RNA transcript. RefSeq lists it as uncharacterized. The transcript is spliced from 2 exons. NCBI's taxonomy places the organism in Eukaryota, Metazoa, Arthropoda, Insecta, Hemiptera, Cicadellidae. The record is from RefSeq and is a predicted model, not a curated record.